Molecule: ribosomal RNA, 1642 nt
Filed under: Salmonella enterica
Lineage: Bacteria; Pseudomonadati; Pseudomonadota; Gammaproteobacteria; Enterobacterales; Enterobacteriaceae
Description: partial 23S ribosomal RNA
Rfam family: Bacterial large subunit ribosomal RNA
Source: RNAcentral
AGACCCGAAACCCGGUGAUCUAGCCAUGGGCAGGUUGAAGGUUGGGUAACACUAACUGGAGGACCGAACCGACUAAUGUUGAAAAAUUAGCGGAUGACCUGUGGCUGGGGGUGAAAGGCCAAUCAAACCGGGAGAUAGCUGGUUCUCCCCGAAAGCUAUUUAGGUAGCGCCUCGUGAAUUCAUCUCCGGGGGUAGAGCACUGUUUCGGCUAGGGGGCCAUCCCGGCUUACCAACCCGAUGCAAACUGCGAAUACCGGAGAAUGUUAUCACGGGAGACACACGGCGGGUGCUAACGUCCGUCGUGAAGAGGGAAACAACCCAGACCGCCAGCUAAGGUCCCAAAGUCAUGGUUAAGUGGGAAACGAUGUGGGAAGGCCCAGACAGCCAGGAUGUUGGCUUAGAAGCAGCCAUCAUUUAAAGAAAGCGUAAUAGCUCACUGGUCGAGUCGGCCUGCGCGGAAGAUGUAACGGGGCUAAACCAUGCACCGAAGCUGCGGCAGCGAACGUAUCACCCAAGACAACUUUACGGAGUUGACGAUUGACGGAGCGAAGCGACGUCAAAGCGUUCAUUAAAGUCGAGUUGGCUUAGGGAUACGUUCGUUGGGUAGGGGAGCGUUCUGUAAGCCUGUGAAGGUGGCCUGUGAGGGUUGCUGGAGGUAUCAGAAGUGCGAAUGCUGACAUAAGUAACGAUAAAGCGGGUGAAAAGCCCGCUCGCCGGAAGACCAAGGGUUCCUGUCCAACGUUAAUCGGGGCAGGGUGAGUCGACCCCUAAGGCGAGGCCGAAAGGCGUAGUCGAUGGGAAACGGGUUAAUAUUCCCGUACUUGGUGUUACUGCGAAGGGGGGACGGAGAAGGCUAUGUUGGCCGGGCGACGGUUGUCCCGGUUUAAGCGUGUAGGUGUGUGUUCCAGGUAAAUCCGGUUCACUUUAACACUGAGGCGUGAUGACGAGGCACUACGGUGCUGAAGCAACAAAUGCCCUGCUUCCAGGAAAAGCCUCUAAGCAUCAGGUAACAUCAAAUCGUACCCCAAACCGACACAGGUGGUCAGGUAGAGAAUACCAAGGCGCUUGAGAGAACUCGGGUGAAGGAACUAGGCAAAAUGGUGCCGUAACUUCGGGAGAAGGCACGCUGACACGUAGGUGAAGUGAUUUACUCAUGGAGCUGAAGUCAGUCGAAGAUACCAGCUGGCUGCAACUGUUUAUUAAAAACACAGCACUGUGCAAACACGAAAGUGGACGUAUACGGUGUGACGCCUGCCCGGUGCCGGAAGGUUAAUUGAUGGGGUCAGCGCAAGCGAAGCUCCUGAUCGAAGCCCCGGUAAACGGCGGCCGUAACUAUAACGGUCCUAAGGUAGCGAAAUUCCUUGUCGGGUAAGUUCCGACCUGCACGAAUGGCGUAAUGAUGGCCAGGCUGUCUCCACCCGAGACUCAGUGAAAUUGAACUCGCUGUGAAGAUGCAGUGUACCCGCGGCAAGACGGAAAGACCCCGUGAACCUUUACUAUAGCUUGACACUGAACAUUGAGCCUUGAUGUGUAGGAUAGGUGGGAGGCUUUGAAGUGUGGACGCCAGUCUGCAUGGAGCCGACCUUGAAAUACCACCCUUUAAUGUUUGAUGUUCUAACGUGGACCCGUGAUCCGGGUUGCG